Molecule: ribosomal RNA, 383 nt
Filed under: uncultured Cryptomonas
Lineage: Eukaryota; Cryptophyceae; Cryptomonadales; Cryptomonadaceae
Description: partial small subunit ribosomal RNA
Rfam family: Eukaryotic small subunit ribosomal RNA
Source: RNAcentral
GCUUGUCUCAAAGAUUAAGCCAUGCAUGUCUUAGUGUAAAUAACUCUUAUGAAACUGCGAAUGGCUCAUUAAAUCAGUUAUCAAAUACGUGAUGGUCGCCUACUACAUGGAUAACCGUAGUAAUUCUAGAGCUAAUACAUGCACAAAGGCCCACUCACGUGGGUUGUGAUUAUUAGAUUCAAACCGGCCUCGUUCUGGUGAUUCAUAAUAACUGAUCGAAUCGCAAGGCCUUUGGCCGCGAUAAGUCAUUCAAGUUUCUGCCCCAUCAGCUUUCGAUGGUAGUGUAUUGGACUACCAUGGCGUUCACGGGUAACGGAGAAUUAGGGUUCGAUUCCGGAGAGGGAGCCUGAGAAACGGCUACCACAUCUAAGGAAGGCAGCAGG